RNAcentral lists this transfer RNA (57 nucleotides) under Schistocephalus solidus. It matches the Rfam family "tRNA". Rfam says of the family: Transfer RNA (tRNA) molecules are approximately 80 nucleotides in length. Their secondary structure includes four short double-helical elements and three loops (D, anti-codon, and T loops). Lineage: Eukaryota; Metazoa; Platyhelminthes; Cestoda; Diphyllobothriidea; Diphyllobothriidae. The record is from Rfam by way of RNAcentral.
GAGCCCGUGGCUCAGUGGUUAGAGCGUUGGACUUACGAUCAACGGUUCGCGGGCUCG